UACGGGGGGGGCAAGCGUUGUUCGGAAUUACUGGGCGUAAAGGGCGCGUAGGCGGCCUUCUAAGUCGGACGUGAAAUCCCUCGGCUUAACUGAGGAACUGCGUCCGAUACUGAAAGGCUUGAAUCCGGGAGAGGGAUGUGGAAUUCCAGGUGUAGCGGUGAAAUGCGUAGAUAUCUGGAGGAACACCGGUGGCGAAGGCGGCAUCCUGGACCAAUUCUGACGCUGAGGAGCGAAAGCCAGGGGAGCAAACGGG
This 253-nucleotide ribosomal RNA is filed under the name uncultured bacterium. Its description in RNAcentral is "partial 16S ribosomal RNA". It matches the Rfam family "Bacterial small subunit ribosomal RNA", at positions 524 to 776 of the family's 1533-position model. The record is from RNAcentral.